Long non-coding RNA from Uranotaenia lowii, 955 nucleotides. RefSeq lists it as uncharacterized. The transcript is spliced from 3 exons. The record is from RefSeq and is a predicted model, not a curated record. NCBI's taxonomy places the organism in Eukaryota, Metazoa, Arthropoda, Insecta, Diptera, Culicidae.
CGUUGCAGCGUGUUUUUGCAGAUGUAAAUGCCAUGAUCUUAAAAAAAAAGAUCCUUAUGCGCAACAUAUAGCUUUCAACUAGAGCUUUCUUCAGCACCAAGCAAAACUUUUUUGGACAUUUGGUAGCUGGCCUAUAGUUUUUUCCGAAGCAUGUUUUUGGAUUUUUUCUUAGACUUUGAAUACACGGUAAUUUUAAAUUAUUCAGAUACUGAUUUGUUUUGGUUCAGGAGCCGCACCAUGUAUGAAGGUAAAAACAACUGAGUUGGAAUCCUUCAAAAUUUUGAGUUGUUUUCAUCUAGCAAGCUCCAAACCCUGGGACUUAGCAAAGACGCACAUUUUUUCGAGCAAAAUAUAUAAAAACAACUCAGAGAGAUCCAAAACACAAAAUGAUUGUUUGGAUGCGACGGUCUCAGCGCACUCAGUGCGGGCAGUUGUCGGAAAAAUAAUGGUUAGUUUCCAAUGGAUGCGGCGCAGCUUUUCGUCACUGGAAUCGUUGGAAAUUUUGGUUGAACAGCAGAUGCCUGAGAAUGUGUUUAAAAGAAAAUGCUACUGGUCGUCACAACGAUGAAAAACAGACAAAGGAUGCCGCAGGGGAAACUUUGUUUUCAUCAGCAUCAAUUAUCGUUCGUCGAACCAGAACAUUUCGAUGGUGGCAAUGAUGGGGACGAUGGCAGCGGCAACUUCACUCCCAGGGCAGGCAGUCGAGUUGGAGGAAGCCGAAGUCUUCCAAACUCAAAAUCCGCAAACAUUUGCCACGAAAACAGAAUAGACCGUAUUGCCUACGACGGAAGUGGCGGCGACAGAAGUUUGCGUGACCGAAGAGAAGGCGGGCGAUCUAAUCGGUAACCAAGGGAAGAACAGCCAGGAUCGGUACUAUCAGAAAAUUAAGCAUCAACAGCAGAAAAUAAUUGAUGCCACUCACGAACUUCGGUGAAAAAUACCAGAAUAAACAUAU